GAGCACGUAGGUGGGUUUGUAAGUCAGAUGUGAAAGCCUUCUGUUCAACGGAAGAAUUGCAUCUGAAACUGCGAGUCUUGAGUGUAGGAGGGGAGAAUGGAACUUCUGGUGGAGCGGUGAAAUGCGUAGAUAUCAGAAGGAACUCCGGCGGCGAAAGCGAUUCUCUGGCCUAUUACUGACACUCAGUGUGCGAAAGCUAGGAGAGCAAACGGGAUUAGAUACCCCGGUAGUCCUAGCCGUAAACGAUGGGCACUAAGUAGAGGGGUUUU
This 269-nucleotide ribosomal RNA is filed under the name uncultured Planctomycetales bacterium. RNAcentral describes it as "partial 16S ribosomal RNA". It matches the Rfam family "Bacterial small subunit ribosomal RNA", at positions 565 to 832 of the family's 1533-position model. Lineage: Bacteria; Pseudomonadati; Planctomycetota; Planctomycetia; Planctomycetales. The record is from RNAcentral.